Molecule: ribosomal RNA, 867 nt
Filed under: uncultured Janthinobacterium sp.
Lineage: Bacteria; Pseudomonadati; Pseudomonadota; Betaproteobacteria; Burkholderiales; Oxalobacteraceae
Description: bacterial SSU rRNA
Rfam family: Bacterial small subunit ribosomal RNA
Source: RNAcentral
ACAUGCAAGUCGAACGGCAGCACGGAGCUUGCUCUGGUGGCGAGUGGCGAACGGGUGAGUAAUAUAUCGGAACGUACCCUGGAGUGGGGGAUAACGUAGCGAAAGUUACGCUAAUACCGCAUACGAUCUAAGGAUGAAAGUGGGGGAUCGCAAGACCUCAUGCUCGUGGAGCGGCCGAUAUCUGAUUAGCUAGUUGGUAGGGUAAAAGCCUACCAAGGCAUCGAUCAGUAGCUGGUCUGAGAGGACGACCAGCCACACUGGAACUGAGACACGGUCCAGACUCCUACGGGAGGCAGCAGUGGGGAAUUUUGGACAAUGGGCGAAAGCCUGAUCCAGCAAUGCCGCGUGAGUGAAGAAGGCCUUCGGGUUGUAAAGCUCUUUUGUCAGGGAAGAAACGGUGAGAGCUAAUAUCUCUUGCUAAUGACGGUACCUGAAGAAUAAGCACCGGCUAACUACGUGCCAGCAGCCGCGGUAAUACGUAGGGUGCAAGCGUUAAUCGGAAUUACUGGGCGUAAAGCGUGCGCAGGCGGUUUUGUAAGUCUGAUGUGAAAUCCCCGGGCUCAACCUGGGAAUUGCAUUGGAGACUGCAAGGCUAGAAUCUGGCAGAGGGGGGUAGAAUUCCACGUGUAGCAGUGAAAUGCGUAGAUAUGUGGAGGAACACCGAUGGCGAAGGCAGCCCCCUGGGUCAAGAUUGACGCUCAUGCACGAAAGCGUGGGGAGCAAACAGGAUUAGAUACCCUGGUAGUCCACGCCCUAAACGAUGUCUACUAGUUGUCGGGUCUUAAUUGACUUGGUAACGCAGCUAACGCGUGAAGUAGACCGCCUGGGGAGUACGGUCGCAAGAUUAAAACUCAAAGGAAUUGACGG